AAACUCAAAGGAAUUGACGGGACCCCGCACAAGCGGUGGAUUAUGUUGUUAAUUCGACGCAACGCGAAGAACCUUACCAGGCCUUGACAUACUCGGCAAAGCUCUAGAGAUAGAGUGGAGGUUAUCCGGGAUACAGGUGGUGCAUGGUUGUCGUCAGCUCGUGUCGUGAGAUGUUGGGUUAAGUCCCGCAACGAGCGCAACCCUUGUCUUUAGUUACCAUCAUUCAGUUGGGGACUCUAGAGAGACUGCCGGUGAUAAACCGGAGGAAGGUGGGAUGACGUCAAAUCAUCAUGCCCCUUAUGGCCUGGGCUACAAACGUAAUACAAUGGCGUAUACAAAGGGAUGCGAAAGGGCGACCUGGAGCAAAACUCACAAAGUACGUCUCAGUUCAGAUUGCAGUCUGCAACUCGACUGCAUGAAGUUGGAGUUGCUAGUAACCGCAGGUCAGCAAUACUGCGGUGAAUACGUUCCCGGGUCUU
Molecule: ribosomal RNA, 479 nt
Filed under: uncultured Erysipelothrix sp.
Lineage: Bacteria; Bacillati; Bacillota; Erysipelotrichia; Erysipelotrichales; Erysipelotrichaceae
Description: bacterial SSU rRNA
Rfam family: Bacterial small subunit ribosomal RNA
Source: RNAcentral